This 434-nucleotide ribosomal RNA is filed under the name uncultured Lachnospiraceae bacterium. Its description in RNAcentral is "partial 16S ribosomal RNA". It matches the Rfam family "Bacterial small subunit ribosomal RNA", at positions 341 to 792 of the family's 1533-position model. The record is from RNAcentral. Lineage: Bacteria; Bacillati; Bacillota; Clostridia; Lachnospirales; Lachnospiraceae.
ACGGGAGGCAGCAGUGGGGAAUAUUGGACAAUGGGGGAAACCCUGAUCCAGCGACGCCGCGUGAGUGAAGAAGUAUUUCGGUAUGUAAAGCUCUAUCAGCAGGGAAGAUAAUGACGGUACCUGACUAAGAAGCCCCGGCUAACUACGUGCCAGCAGCCGCGGUAAUACGUAGGGGGCAAGCGUUAUCCGGAUUUACUGGGUGUAAAGGGAGCGUAGACGGUUUGCCAAGUCUGAUGUGAAAGGUGGGGGCUCAACCCCCAAACUGCAUUGGAAACUGGUAGACUAGAGUGUCGGAGAGGUAAGUGGAAUUCCUAGUGUAGCGGUGAAAUGCGUAGAUAUUAGGAGGAACACCAGUGGCGAAGGCGGCUUACUGGACGAUAACUGACGUUGAGGCUCGAAAGCGUGGGGAGCAAACAGGAUUAGAUACCCUGGUA